AGAGCGAGGGCCGCGCGGCGCGCCGAAGCCUCGGGGAGCCGCCUUCUCGCCGGCGGUAGGGGCUGCGGGGCGCCCGCCAGCCUCUGGGUCCCCUCUCCUGCCUGGCCCGCCCCGCCUGGGCCGGCAGGAGCCCCGGCACUAGGCAGCCCGCCGAGGGUCGCCGCGCCAGCCAAGGUGGGAUGGGGGCCCACAGCCACCGCCAGGAGCCCGAGAGGCCACCUGCGUGCUAGAGGCAAACUUUUGUCUCCCUCGGGUUACCGCCCAGGACGAUGAGCGGCUGAGAUGGAGACAUCUGCCUUAGCCACUUUCUCUGAGAAGCAAGAAGCCAAAAGUGGGCUCCUGGAGGCCGCUGGCUUCCCCGACCCGGGCAAAAAGGCCUCUCCUCUGGUGGUGGCUGCCCAAGGAGUGCUGCAGCACCUCUUACCACCGUUCCAUGCGCCCCUACCCAUUGAUAUUCGACACCAGGAGGGAAGGUACCAUUAGGAGCUUCAUUCUGUCCACGGCGUGCACGGCCCCCCCGCCCUGAGCGGCAGCCCUGUCAUCUCUGACAUCUCCUUGAUCCGGCUUUCCCCACACCCGACUGGCCCUGGGACUCCCCCUUCAAUGCCCCCCGCCCAUAUGUGAACCCCCACAUGGAGCACUACCUCCGUUCUGUGCACAGCAGUCCCACACUCUCCAUGAUGUCUGCAGCCAGGGGCCUCAGCCCCGCUGACGUGGCCCAGGAGCACCUUAAGGAGAGGGGUCUGUUUGGCCUGCCUGCUCCAGGCACCACCCCCUCAGACUAUUACCACCAGAUGACCCUCAUGGCAGGCCACCCCGCACCUUACGGGGACCUGCUGAUGCAGAGCGGGGGUGCUGCCAGCGCACCCCAUCUCCACGACUACCUCAACCCAGUGGACGUGUCCCGUUUCUCCAGCCCUCGGGUGACGCCCCACCUGAGCCGCAAGCGUACGCUGUCCAUCUCUCCACUCUCAGACGCCAGCCUGGACCUUCAGCGGAUGAUCCGCACCUCACUCAACUCGCUGGUGGCCGACAUCAACAAUUCCCGCAGCAGCUCAGCGGCCAGCGGCUCCUUUGGGCACCUGUCGGCGGGCACCCUCAGCCCAGCCUUCACUUUCCCUCACCACAUCAACCCCGUGGCUUACCAGCAGAUUCUGAGCCAGCAGAGGGGUCUGGGGUCAGCCUUUGGACACACACCACCCCUGAUCCAGCCCUCACCCACCUUCCUGGCUCAGCAGCCCAUGGCCCUCACCUCCGUCAAUGCCACACCCACCCAGCUCAGCAGCAGCAGCAACUGUCUGAGUGACAACCAGAAUAAGCAGAGCAGUGAGUCGGCUGUGAGCAGCACCAUCAACCCCGUCGUGCAAGCGCAGCAAGGUCAAGACCGAGCCUGAGGGCCUGCGGCCGGCCUCCCCUCUGGCACUGACGCAAGGCCAGGUGUCUGGACACGGCUCAUGUGGGUGUGCCCUUCCCCUCUCCCAGGAGCAGCUGGCUGACCUCAAGGAAGACCUGGACAGGAAUGACUGCAAAGCAGGAGGCUGAGGUGGUCAUCUAUGAGACCAACUGCCACUGGGAAGACUGCACCAAGGAGUACGACACCCAGGAGCAGCUGGUGCACCACAUCAACAACGAGCACAGCCACGGGGAGAAGAAGGAGUUUGUGUGCUGCUGGCAGACCUGCACGCGGGAGCAGAAGCCCUUCAAGGCACAGUACAUGCUGGUGGUGCACAAGGGGCGGCACACGGGCGAAAAGCCCCACAAGUGCACGUUCGAGGGCUGCUUGAAGGCCUACUCACGCCUGGAGAACCUGAAGACGCACCUGCGGUCCCACACUGGGGAGAAGCCAUAUGUGUGUGAGCACGAGGGCUGCAACAAGACCUUCUCCAACGCCUCGGACCGCGCCAAGCACCAGAACCGCAUCCACUCCAACGAGAAACCCUACAUCUGCAAGAUCCCAGGCUGCACGAAGCGAUACACAGACUCCAGCUCUCUCCUGAAGCAUGUGAAAACGGUCCACGGCCCAGACACCCACGUCACCAAGAAGCGCGCAACGACGUGCACCUCGGCACACCGCUGCUCAAAGAGAACGGGGACAGUGAGGCCGGCGCCGAGCCUGGCGGCGGUGGUUCUGAGGACAGCGCCGAGGCCAGCAGCACCAGCCAGGCUGUGGAGGACUGCCUGCACGUCAGAGCCAACAAGACCGAGAGCUCCAGGCUGUGUCAGUCCAGCCCCGGGGCCCAGUCAUCCUGCAGCAGCGAGCCCUCUCCCCUGGGCAGUGCCCCCAACAAUGACAGUGGCGUGGAGAUGUCGGGGACGGGGCCCAGGAGCCUGGGAGACCUGACGGAGCUGGAUGACACACCUCCAGGGGCUGACGCCUCAGCCCUGGCUGCCCCCUCCGCCGGUGGCCUCCAGCUGCACAAACACAUGACCACCAUGCACCGAUUUGAGCAGCUCAAGAAGGAGAAGCUCAAGUCACUCAAGGAUUCCUGCUCAUGGGCCGGGCCGACUCCACACACGCGGAACACCAUGCUGCCUCCCCUCCCGGGAAGUGGCUCCAUCCUGGAAAACUUCAGCGGCAGUGGGGGCGGCGGGCCCUCGGGCUUGCUGCCCAAACCGCGACUGUCGGAGCUGUCCGCCAGCGAGGUGACCAUGCUGAGCCAGCUGCAGGAGCGCCGCGAAAGCUCCACCAGCACGGUCAGCUCGGCCUACACCGUGAGCCGCCGCUCCUCCGGCAUCUCCCCCUACUUCUCCAGCCGCCGCUCCAGCGAGGCCUCGCCCUCCGCAGACUCCUACGACCCCAUCUCCACCGAUGCGUCGUGGCGCUCGAGCGAGGCCAGCCAGUGCAGCGGCGGCUGCGGGCUGCUCAGCCUCAUGCCGGCGCAGCACUACAAGCCUGCGGGCCAAGUACGCAGCGGCCACGGGCGGCCACGGGCGGCCCCCCACCCACCCCGCUGCCGGGGCUGGAGCGCAUGAGCCUGCGGACCAGGCCGGCGCUGCUGGAUGCGCCAGAGCGCGCGCUGCCCCCCGGCUGCCCACGCCCGCUGGGGCCGCGGCAUGGCAGCGAUGGGCCGACCUAUGGCCACGGCCACGCAGGAGUCGCACCCGCCUUCCCUCACGAGGCUCCGGGGGACGGCGCCAGGCGAGCCAGCGACCCUGUGCGGCGGCCCGAUGCCCUGGCCCUGCCGCGGGUGCAGCGCUUCUACGGCGCCCACAACGUGAACCCCGACCCGCUGCCGCCCUGUGCGGACAGAUGAGGCCUCCGCCUGCAGAGCCACCCGAGCACUGACGGCGGCCUGGCCCGCGGCACCUACUCGCCCCGGCCGCCCAGCUUCAGCGAGAACAUGGUGAUGGAGGCCGUGGCGGCAGGAGCCGACAGCACGGGACCGGAGGCCGACCUGGGGCUGCUGGAGGACGACCUUGUGCUGCCCGACGAUGUGGUGCAGUGUAUCAAGGCGCACGCCAGUGGCGCUCUGGAUGAAGGUGCCCGGCAGGUGUAUCCCACGGAAAGCAGUGGCUUCUCUGACAACCCCAAACUGCCCAGCCCGGGGCUGCACGGCCAUCGGAGGAUGGUGGCUGCGGACUCCAACAUUGGCCCCUGUGCCCCUGCGCUGGGAGGAUGCCAGCUGGGCUUUGGGGCACCCUCCAGCCUGAACAAAAAUAGCAUGCCUGUGCAGUGGAACAAGGUGAGCUCCGGCACAGUGGACGCCCUGGCCAGCCAGGUGAAGCCUUCACCCGUUCCUCAGGGCAACCUGGCGGUGGUGCAGCAGAAGCCAGCCUUUGGCCAGUACCCAGGCUACAGUCCACAAGGCCUACAGGUGAGUCCUGGGGGCCUGGACAGCACGCAGCCACACCUUCAGCUCCACAGCGGAGCCCCUUCCCAGGGCAUGCCCAGGGUAAACUACAUGCAGCAGCUGCGACAGCCAGCGGCAGGCAGCCAGUGUCCUGGCAUGACUACCGCUAUGAGCCCCCAUGCCUACUAUGGCCAAGCCCACCCCCAGCUGGGCCCCAGCACCAUCAGUGGGGCCCUCAGCCAGUUCACCCCAUCCUGCAGCAGCAUGCCAGCCAAGCCAGUCCAGCUGGGACACCCACAGCAGACGGAAGUUGCACCUGACCCCACCAUUAUGGACAACUGCCACAUGGAACUCGGGGUCCUCAAUUCAGCCCUGGCUGGAGUGCCACCACCUCACCCAGUCCAGAGCUACCCACAGCAGAGCCAUCACCUGGCAGCCCCCAUGAGCCAGGAGGGCUACCACCAGAUCCCCAGCCUUCUGCCUGCCCACCAGCCUGGCUUCAUGGAGCCCCAGCCAGGCCCAAUGGGAGUGGCUACAGCAGGCUUUGGCCUAGUGCAACCCCGGCCUCCGCCAGAGCCCAGCCCCGCUGGCCGCCACCGUGGGGUACAUGCUGUGCAGCAGCAGCUGGUCUAUGCCAUGGCUGACAUGCCAUCCAGUCAGGAGACAGCAGAGGCUGUGCCCAAGGGAGCGAUAGGCACCAUGGGGUCAGCGCCUCCCCAGCCGCCUCCGCCGGACUCGGGGGGGGGGGCCCAGACCACAGCAUGCUCUACUACUAUGGCCAGAUCCACAUGUACGAACAGGAUGGAGGCCUGGAGAACCUCGGGGGCUGCCAAGUCACGCGGUCCCAGCCACCACAGAGACAGGCCUUCCAGGACAACAUCCAGCCCUAGCCCUUGCCCUCACCAAGGGUCAACCAAGUGUCCAGCACUGUGGACGCCCAGAUCCUGGAGGCCCCCCAGAUUGAUUUUGAUGCUAUCAUGGAUGAUGGCGAUCACUUAAGUUUGUUCUCGGGUGCUCUGAGCCCCAGCCUCCUCCACAAUCUCUCCCAGAACUCCUCCCAACUCACCACCCCCCAAAAUUCUCUGACGCUGCCCUCCAUGCCCCCACAGGCAUCAGCAACAUGGCUGUCGGGGACAUGAGCUCCAUUGUCACCAGCCUCACGGAGGAGAGCAAGUUCCUGAACAUGAUGACCUAGAGCCCGGAGCACCUGGAGCUGAGUGCACCCAGAGAUGUCAUCGCUGCCCAGAGCCUAGGAGUUCCAGCUGUUUUGUCUUUUUCCAAAAAAGUGUUAAAUACGCAUGAGGGGUUGUUGCCCAAUGGCAGUUCAGAUGACAGAUGUUGUAAGAGAAGGUUUAUGGGCAUCCUCUCUGGUCUUCGGGAUUAUCACUCAGAACAAUGGAAGAAGUCUCCAUAGAACAGGAAAGAAUGCAAAACUCAUUUACACCAUGCUCUCCAGCCUUUGGUGUUUAUGGGACAACUCUGUUCCGGCUUCCUCAUGGCUGACAUUUGACUAAAUAGGGAUUACUCUGGCCAAAGGCUUUCCAAGGAUAUGCAGAAAGAGGGUAGGGAGCAUUUGGGUUUGAAUCUGAAUGCCAUACUGGAUAUUCUGGAAAUGUAAGCUUCUUCUGCUACUUGGCAGGAAAAGGAAUUCCUGGUCCCACCUGAAUUCCUCUAUGAAGCCUAACUCUUGAGGUCUCCAACAUCCCUUGUCAUAGAGGAAAAGUACAGAUGAUACCUGGAUGAUUCAGAAGUACAUUCCGAGUCCAGGUUUGGUAGAGCUGGCUCUUCUACCCCAUAAUGCUGAGUUUGGGACUGGCAGCCCAUCCAAGUGUAUAUGAAUGAAUAAAGUAUUAAGUAUCACCAGAAAAAGGAAAGAAAAAAUGUACUCCUCGCGGCAAGCCCAGAAGCUGCCCUGGCCUUUCCAGACCGUGUUUACAGUGUUUGCAUGUAGAAUGUAGCCCUUCCUGAAAAGAAGACUUGUUUCUAAAUACCUCAGGGCUGCUGGAGCCACUGUGGGUUACGGAUCGUCGAAGGUCUUGAGGGGUGACAGUGCACUCGGGGCAGAGCCUCAGGCCUCCCUGGGGAUCUCCCAGUAGGAAGACGAAGUCAUGUGUAUACCCAAUCCUGUUUCUCCAAUGCAAUGGCCACCCAUUUACCACGAAAAUCUCCACGGCUUGACAGCAGCCCAGGCUCCCCAGCACUCACCAGCAGCCCAGUGUUCCACCAAGCCACAGCGAGCAGGCCUGGUGUCCUCCAGAUUCCCUUCCUUCUGCCCCCGCAGUCACUGGGCAGAGAAUGAUGAUGUGUGGUGGUAUGGGUGGGGGUGGAAGGGGGAGGAGCUGAUCCUCAGGUCAUUGAAUUUUCCUGGUGAGUGUGACCAAGAUCCACCUGACAAUGGAAUUUGGAACUGGCUUCAAGAGACAUCAUUCCUGGACACACUGGAGGGUGAAUUGGUGCAUCUUCCCCACCACACACACACACACACACACACACACACACACACUCCCCAAACCUUCUCAUGGGGAAUGUGUGGCAACCUUGCCAAACUAGCAGCACCACUCAGCAUGUGACUCUGACUGUGACCUUGGCCUCAAUGAGGAACUUCUUAGGAGAGUUUGAGGACAAGGCCAUCAUCAUCUGGCCCCCCUGCAUCCCAGCGUAUCAAACUGUCCAGAGACAAGGCCAACUGCAGGCGAAAGCCAGGGAACGUUGCUAAGGGUCCGUGGCUCUGCAGUGGUGUUCACUGCCUUCCCAUUAGGAUUUUCCUUGCUAGUCCCGACCUGUAUAUAUUCUGUACAGAAGACAUCCCUGAAUAUACUGUAGGUGAGUCAUCCAGCCAAAUUUAUAUCUCCAAAACAUUUUUAGCUUUUUCUACAUGCUAUGAAUUGAGGUGACAUGCUCAACUUGUAAAUAAGUCUUUUUGUACAUUAAAAAAGUAAUUUUUUCAUAAAAAAAAGAAAAUAGUAU
Non-coding RNA from Callithrix jacchus (white-tufted-ear marmoset), 6758 nucleotides. The record is from RefSeq and is a predicted model, not a curated record. NCBI's taxonomy places the organism in Eukaryota, Metazoa, Chordata, Mammalia, Primates, Cebidae.